Molecule: long non-coding RNA, 151 nt
Organism: Perognathus longimembris pacificus (Pacific pocket mouse)
Lineage: Eukaryota; Metazoa; Chordata; Mammalia; Rodentia; Heteromyidae
Exons: 3
Source: RefSeq, a predicted model, not a curated record
GGAAACAGGGAAGCUAGAAGACAUAUACAGUGAGUAAUGCUGUCAAAUUACAUAAGUGUUUUAGAAAGCAACCUGGCCAUAUGUCAGAGCCAUAGGAAUAAUGAAGUCAAGGAACAUACUUUUUGUGGUGUGUUUUAUUUGUGUGUGUGUG